Molecule: ribosomal RNA, 433 nt
Filed under: uncultured bacterium
Lineage: Bacteria
Description: partial 16S ribosomal RNA
Rfam family: Bacterial small subunit ribosomal RNA
Source: RNAcentral
AACGAACGCUGGCGGCAUGCCUAACACAUGCAAGUCGAACGAGACCUUCGGGUCUAGUGGCGCACGGGUGCGUAACGCGUGGGAAUCUACCCUCAGGUUCGGAAUAACUCAGAGAAAUUUGAGCUAAUACCGGAUGAUGACGUAAGUCCAAAGAUUUAUCGCCUGAGGAUGAGCCCGCGUAGGAUUCGGUAGUUGGUGAGGUAAAGGCUCACCAAGCCGACGAUCCUUAGCUGGUCUGAGAGGAUGAUCAGCCACACUGGGACUGAGACACGGCCCAGACUCCGACGGGAGGCAGCAGUGGGGAAUAUUGGACAAGGGGCGAAAGUCUGAUCCAGCAAUGCCGCGUGAGUGAGGAAGGCCUUAGGGUUGUAAAGCUCUUUUACCCGGGAUGAUAAUGACAGUACCGGGAGAAUAAGCUCCGGCUAACUCCGUG